Molecule: ribosomal RNA, 721 nt
Filed under: uncultured bacterium
Lineage: Bacteria
Description: bacterial SSU rRNA
Rfam family: Bacterial small subunit ribosomal RNA
Source: RNAcentral
AGUCGACGGUAGCACAGAGGAGCUUGCUCCUUGGGUGACGAGUGGCGGACGGGUGAGUAAUGUCUGGGAAACUGCCCGAUGGAGGGGGGUAACUACUGGAAACGGUAGCUAAUACCGCAUAACGUCGCAAGACCAAAGAGGGGGACCUUCGGGCCUCUUGCCAUCGGAUGUGCCCAGAUGGGAUUAGCUAGUAGGUGGGGUAACGGCUCACCUAGGCGACGAUCCCUAGCUGGUCUGAGAGGAUGACCAGCCACACUGGAACUGAGACACGGUCCAGACUCCUACGGGAGGCAGCAGUGGGGAAUAUUGCACAAUGGGCGCAAGCCUGAUGCAGCCAUGCCGCGUGUAUGAAGAAGGCCUUCGGGUUGUAAAGUACUUUCAGCGAGGAGGAAGGUGUUGUGGUUAAUAACUGCAGCAAUUGACGUUACUCGCAGAAGAAGCACCGGCUAACUCCGUGCCAGCAGCCGCGGUAAUACGGAGGGUGCAAGCGUUAAUCGGAAUUACUGGGCGUAAAGCGCACGCAGGCGGUCUGUCAAGUCGGAUGUGAAAUCCCCGGGCUCAACCUGGGAACUGCAUCCGAAACUGGCAGGCUAGAGUCUUGUAGAGGGGGGUAGAAUUCCAGGUGUAGCGGUGAAAUGCGUAGAGAUCUGGAGGAAUACCGGUGGCGAAGGCGGCCCCCUGGACAAAGACUGACGCUCAGGUGCGAAAGCGUGGGGAGCAA